Molecule: ribosomal RNA, 127 nt
Filed under: uncultured bacterium
Lineage: Bacteria
Description: partial 16S ribosomal RNA
Source: RNAcentral
UGUCACAGCUGCACGCUAUUAACGUACAACCUUUCUUCCCAAUUGAAAGUGCUUUACAACCCUAAGGCCUUCUUCACACACGCGGCAUGGCUGCGUCAGGCUUUCGCCCAUUGCGCAAUAUUCCCCA